UACGGAGGAUGCAAGCGUUAUCCGGAUUCAUUGGGUUUAAAGGGUGCGUAGGCGGCUUUUUAAGUCAGCGGUGAAAUUUUUGCAGCUUAACUGUAACAGUGCCGUUGAUACUGGGGAGCUAGGAUUUGGUUGCUGUGGGUGGAAUGUGUGGUGUAGCGGUGAAAUGCUUAGAGAUCACACAGAAUAUCGAUUGCGAAGGCAGCUCACAAAGCCAAGAUUGACGCUGAGGCACGAAAGUGUGGGGAUCAAACAGGA
This 255-nucleotide ribosomal RNA is filed under the name uncultured prokaryote. RNAcentral describes it as "partial 16S ribosomal RNA". It matches the Rfam family "Bacterial small subunit ribosomal RNA", at positions 524 to 777 of the family's 1533-position model. The record is from RNAcentral.